UCCGGAUUUAUUGGGCGUAAAGCGAGCGCAGGCGGUUAGAUAAGUCUGAAGUUAAAGGCUGUGGCUUAACCAUAGUACGCUUUGGAAACUGUUUAACUUGAGUGCAAGAGGGGAGAGUGGAAUUCCAUGUGUAGCGGUGAAAUGCGUAGAUAUAUGGAGGAACACCGGUGGCGAAAGCGGCUCUNUGGCUUGUAACUGACGCUGAGGCUCGAAAGCGUGGGGAGCAAACAGGAUUAGAUACCNUGGUAGUCCACGCCGUAAACGAUGAGUGCUAGGUGUUAGACCCUUUCCGGGGUUUAGUGCCGCAGCUAACGCAUUAAGCACUCCGCCUGGGGAGUACGACCGCAAGGUUGAAACUCAAAGGAAUUGACGGGGGCCCGCACAAGCGGUGGAGCAUGUGGUUUAAUUCGAAGCAACGCGAAGAACCUUACCAGGUCUUGACAUCCCUCUGACCGCUCUAGAGAUAGAGUUUUCCUUCGGGACAGAGGUGACAGGUGGUGCAUGGUUGUCGUCAGCUCGUGUCGUGAGAUGUUGGGUUAANNNNNNNNNNCGAGCGCAACCCCUAUUGUUAGUUGCCAUCAUUUAGUUGGGCACUCUAGCGAGACUGCCGGUAAUAAACCGGAGGAAGGUGGGGAUGACGUCAAAUCAUCAUGCCCCUUAUGACCUGGGCUACACACGUGCUACAAUGGCUGGUACAACGAGUCGCAAGCCGGUGACGGCAAGCUAAUCUCUUAAAGCCAGUCUCAGUUCGGAUUGUAGGCUGCAACUCGCCUACAUGAAGUCGGAAUCGCUAGUAAUCGCGGAUCAGCACGCCGCGGUGAAUACGUUCCCGGGCCUU
Molecule: ribosomal RNA, 838 nt
Filed under: uncultured bacterium
Lineage: Bacteria
Description: bacterial SSU rRNA
Rfam family: Bacterial small subunit ribosomal RNA
Source: RNAcentral